RNAcentral lists this ribosomal RNA (303 nucleotides) under Triticum aestivum (bread wheat). Its description in RNAcentral is "partial small subunit ribosomal RNA". Lineage: Eukaryota; Viridiplantae; Streptophyta; Magnoliopsida; Poales; Poaceae. The record is from RNAcentral.
AUGUCUCCCGACGGCACGCGUCUCGAUUGCCCCCUGGGUGGCGGCCGCCCGGCUGAGCUCCUCGGCGGCCCGUUGCCCUGGUGGUGGCGGCUUGGGGGCCAGCAGGGCCUCGCCUCCCUGGCGGACCUUGUUCGUCGCCGUCGUCGUCGCGGAGCCCCGACGGAUUUUGAAACUGAUUUAUAUCCAAUGAAACUCGACAGAAACUCAAAAAAACAGAGGACUAAACUGUGUCCAUGGGUUAUGAAGCGAAUUCAGAAGGUGGGGAGAGAUAUGAGAAAACGAAUUGCACCUUUAGAAUUUUGA